CAUUCUAUUUCUGCGCAUAUUAAUUUUCUUUUAUUUUCUUUCCUUUUUUUCAUCUCUAGGGUUUCCAUGAUGGCUUCUGAAAAAGAAAAUAAAUAUUCUACACCAAUAUGAUAUUUAUCAUUUUAGCUGUGUCUUGUUCUGGAUGAAAUUAUUUCUAAAUGUGUUGAUAUAAUUUACUAUUUUUCACAUCAGUAUAGUUUCCUAAUUCAUUUCUAUAGUUGCCUGUAUCUUCUCUAAUGAACUGUUUGAUUUUCAUUCCUCUGGGGUGGUUUUCCUCUCACACACCUGAUCUUCCUUAGGGUUUCUCAGGGCUGACUCAGGAAUGAAAACUGAUGAGGGUAUUGCUGUAGCCGCUCCUGCCCUGCAGUGUCCACGCUCCCAAGCUUAGAAUCAGCUCCUUGUUGUGCCCGGCACAGCGGGGCCGUUGUGAGCCUCACACUCAUGGAUGAAAGAUGCCCAGUCCAACGAUAAUAAAGUGUGUGUGUGUGUUAUGCGCACCUGGGAAAGGUGGCUCAGAGCUGAGUGUGGCCUGAGUCACUGAGCUGAGCUAUUUCAGGGCCCGUCCACAAACACAGAAGAGAGGGAGCCACAGUCUCUCCAUGGUGGAACAGUUUCCUAAACUUCUUUCUUUGUUCUGAGAGAGAGAAAGACAAAGUGCCAUGACUGCUCUGUGGGCUGGACAGAUGCAUGUUUUCACCUGCAGGCUUGAAUCCAAGCUGAGGUCUUGAGCAUUCCCAGCUACUGAUAAAGCACCUUAGGUUAUUUCUAGAAAACACUGAAAAUUUAACCCUUUUGCUAAUGAUGUAGAAACAAGCCCUGCCCUGAACAAAAUUCCUGAAACUCUCAGGUUAAACUUCAUAACCCCAGUCCCUUCACUGCAGACACCCAAUAGGCAAGCCACAGUUCCAAGGAUGAGAUGACUCAUUUUUAAAAAGGGGAAGUUGAGAUGGGAACUAUUUGGUUGAAAGAAAACCUAAAAUCCAGCGCCAAGAAAGAAGUCAACUUUCCUUCCCCUGUUUCCCUGCAUUUCUCUUCUGUGCUCACGGCCACAGGCAGCUCAGCCUGGACCGCACAGACAGAUGUGAGAUGCAUCUCUGCUGAUCUGAGCCUGCCUGCAGCAUGGACCUGCAUCUUCCCUGAAGCAUUUCCAGGGCUGAAGAGACAACUGCCAGACACCGAGGGCUCAUCCAUCCGCAGAGCAGGGCGGUGGGAGGAGACGCCAUGACCCCCAUCCUCAUGGUCCUGAUCUAUGUCGAGCUGAAUCUGGGCCCCAGGACCCAUGUGCAGGCAGGUGAGUCUGUCCCCAGCUGGCCCAGGUCCUUCUCCUCACUGGGGACAAGGCCCACCCCCGUGCAGCUGGGGAGGGGAAUAGCAGUUCUGGGCUGACUGAUGGGGGUCUGGAGGGUCCUGUGGCUGAGAGCUGACAUCUGUUGGGUUGGGUGGAAAUGACUUAGAAUCUGACCUCUGCUUUCCUGCCAGGGACCCUCCCCAAGCCCAUGCUUUGGGCUGAGCCAGGCUCUGUGAUCACCCAGGGGAGUCCC
This 1541-nucleotide long non-coding RNA is filed under the name Aotus nancymaae (Ma's night monkey). RNAcentral describes it as "lncRNA (ENSANAG00000039504.1)". Lineage: Eukaryota; Metazoa; Chordata; Mammalia; Primates; Aotidae. The record is from RNAcentral.